CCACCACCAUCACUGAGCAUUGAGCCAAUUAGCAACCCUCCAAGAGCACCGCCCACUAGACCAGCUCCCAGUCCACCACCCAUGCCGCUACUUCUGCGUGGAGGAGGUUGACCAUACGCACCCGGUGGAUAAUAUGGUGGAGGCAUACCGCCAGGAGGUGUUUGAUACAUAGGGCCCUGUUGGUACAUUGGAUAAGGCUGGGCAGCACCCGGUUGGCCAUAAGCAGGAGGAUAGCCAGGAGCUGGGUAUGCAUACGCAGGAGCAUCUUUACCAUUACCACCAGGCACGGGCAUCCCCAUCAUGUAAGGUGGCGCAGCUGCUCCCAUUGGUUGCUGUGGGUAUUUGAUCAGCUCUCCCAGUUUGAUGGAUACAUUCAAGGUACCUUUUGCUUUCCCAGACUUCCUCA
RNAcentral lists this long non-coding RNA (406 nucleotides) under Physcomitrium patens. RNAcentral's name for it is "long non-coding RNA (PPAT_LNC010920)". Lineage: Eukaryota; Viridiplantae; Streptophyta; Bryopsida; Funariales; Funariaceae. The record is from RNAcentral.